CGAAUGCUGACAUAAGUAACGAUAAUGCGGGUGAAAAACCCGCACGCCGGAAGACCAAGGGUUCCUGUCCAACGUUAAUCGGGGCAGGGUGAGUCGACCCCUAAGGCGAGGCCGAAAGGCGUAGUCGAUGGGAAACAGGUUAAUAUUCCUGUACUUGGUGUUACUGCGAAGGGGGGACGGAGAAGGCUAUGUUAGCCGGGCGACGGUUGUCCCGGUUUAAGCAUGUAGGCGGAGGUUCCAGGUAAAUCCGGUACCUUUUUAACGCUGAGGUGUGAUGACGAGGCACUACGGUGCUGAAGUAACAAAUGCCCUGCUUCCAGGAAAAGCCUCUAAGCAUCAGGUAACACGAAAUCGUACCCCAAACCGACACAGGUGGUCAGGUAGAGAAUACCAAGGCGCUUGAGAGAACUCGGGUGAAGGAACUAGGCAAAAUGGUGCCGUAACUUCGGGAGAAGGCACGCUGAUAUGUAGGUGAAGCGGUUUACCCGUGGAGCUGAAAUCAGUCGAAGAUACCAGCUGGCUGCAACUGUUUAUUAAAAACACAGCACUGUGCAAACACGAAAGUGGACGUAUACGGUGUGACGCCUGCCCGGUGCCGGAAGGUUAAUUGAUGGGGUUAUCCGUAAGGAGAAGCUCUUGAUCGAAGCCCCGGUAAACGGCGGCCGUAACUAUAACGGUCCUAAGGUAGCGAAAUUCCUUGUCGGGUAAGUUCCGACCUGCACGAAUGGCGUAAUGAUGGCCAGGCUGUCUCCACCCGAGACUCAGUGAAAUUGAACUCGCUGUGAAGAUGCAGUGUACCCGCGGCAAGACGGAAAGACCCCGUGAACCUUUACUAUAGCUUGACACUGAACACUGGUCCUUGAUGUGUAGGAUAGGUGGGAGGCUUUGAAGUGUGGACGCCAGUCUGCAUGGAGCCAUCCUUGAAAUACCACCCUUUAAUGGCUGGUGUUCUAACGUGGACCCGUUACCCGGGUUGCGGACAGUGUCUGGUGGGUAGUUUGACUGGGGCGGUCUCCUCCUAAAGAGUAACGGAGGAGCACGAAGGUUAGCUAAUCCUGGUCGGACAUCAGGAGGUUAGUGCAAAGGCAUAAGCUAGCUUGACUGCGAGAGUGACGGCUCGAGCAGGUGCGAAAGCAGGUCUUAGUGAUCCGGUGGUUCUGAAUGGAAGGGCCAUCGCUCAACGGAUAAAAGGUACUCCGGGGAUAACAGGCUGAUACCGCCCAAGAGUUCAUAUCGACGGCGGUGUUUGGCACCUCGAUGUCGGCUCAUCACAUCCUGGGGCUGAAGUAGGUCCCAAGGGUAUGGCUGUUCGCCAUUUAAAGUGGUACGCGAGCUGGGUUUAGAACGUCGUGAGACAGUUCGGUCCCUAUCUGCCGUGGGCGCUGGAGAAUUGAGGGGGGCUGCUCCUAGUACGAGAGGACCGGAGUGGACGCAUCACUGGUGUUCGGGUUGUCAUGCCAAUGGCAUUGCCCGGUAGCUAAAUGCGGAAGAGAUAAGUGCUGAAAGCAUCUAAGCACGAAACUUGC
This 1526-nucleotide ribosomal RNA is filed under the name Citrobacter freundii. RNAcentral's name for it is "partial 23S ribosomal RNA". It matches the Rfam family "Bacterial large subunit ribosomal RNA", at positions 1291 to 2797 of the family's 2925-position model. Lineage: Bacteria; Pseudomonadati; Pseudomonadota; Gammaproteobacteria; Enterobacterales; Enterobacteriaceae. The record is from RNAcentral.